Molecule: transfer RNA, 69 nt
Filed under: Cricetulus griseus (Chinese hamster)
Lineage: Eukaryota; Metazoa; Chordata; Mammalia; Rodentia; Cricetidae
Rfam family: tRNA
About the family: Transfer RNA (tRNA) molecules are approximately 80 nucleotides in length.
Source: Rfam by way of RNAcentral
GGGGAUGUAGCUCAGUUGGUUAAGAGUGCCUGCCUAGCAUGCAGGAGGACUUGGGAUCAAGAAGCCCCA